CUUUAAGGGCUGGCAGCUGAAAGGGAAACAUCUCUACAUGUAGAUUGCCUCUUUUGGGAAUUUCCAGUGAGCCCCGAUCCUCAGAAAAGGGAGAGACAUUCAGAUAUCAUCAGCCCUUGUUUUCUUAUUGUAAACUGCCAUUUGCAGCGCUUGUGACAAAACAGGCGAAGACUUGCUGUUUUGCAGAGGUUCUCUGAAGAUUAAUAUUAUCCCUCAUUUGCAGAACCAUUAAAAACUUGUAAUCAAGCAAAUGAGAACGUAAAUCUGUACAUUUUGGACAGAUUUUCUACAAUCAUUCCCAAACAUAAUUUUUUAAGUGAUAGGAUCACAUUUCAUCUGAAUAUCAAGAAGUUGAAAUCUACAGCUGAAUGCAUCUCUUGUCAGAUAGUCCAUAUCUGAGAAAGGAGAUGAGAAGUAGCUUCUUGUGGAUUGCAGAUUGCAGAGUACUAACCCCAUAAGCAGAUUGCAGAGUACUUACUGAAAGAUUCAAGAGCUCAGCACUGCCCCUCCGCUCCCUUCAUGAGGAGCUAUAGGCUGCCAUGAGGCCUCCCCUGAGCUAGACAAAGUCAAAACGGCAUGAUCCCAGUCAGUCUGAAGAAGCAGACUGAGCCACUGUUCUCAUAGGAAAGCUUCAACAAUGAAGAAUUCAUUGAUUUCCCAAAGGGCAGGAGGUUGUAUAUUACACCAAACCAAUCCUGCUGUACCCCUCCACUGAAGUACAAGAGAUGAAGAGCUAAAAGUGACUAAAAUAAAAAAAGAGGUUAUCAAAUGACAGAGUGAGACCCUAUAAUGAGGGUCAUGGGUUGCCCCAUUUAAAGACAGAAGGAACACUAUUCCAACGGGUGCUAGAAGAAAUCCAUAGCAAUCCAUUUCUUUUGGAAGAUCAGAGCACUCUUGUACGCUGAAGAAACUAGACAUGUCCUUUUUUCCAUAUCACUAGGAAAGCUCUUGUAACUCUAGCAAACCGCUACUGAGCGCAGAAACACAUUCAAAUGGAAUGUUUCCAUUGCUGUUCCAUAUUUACUGGACAUAAUCAUUUGUUUUAUAUAGAGUACUAUAUUUUGAGCAUAUAGGUAGCAAAUAAUACUGCAAGCUUCUAAAAUCUAGAAAAAACAGAAUGAACACUGCUUAAGUAUUCUCAGAGCAAAGCGUACCUUCUUUCAAAAAUUUCUUUAUCUAAAUUCAUUUAUUCUACAUCAUUUCCCUCUCCAAAGAACACUGGACAGAAACUUUCAGAACUUUUUUUCAACACAAUAUAGCACAAAAAUACUAGGCUGCUCUGAAGAAUUAAAAGGAUUAUUACUAAAAAAAAAAAGUAUACAAUUGGAUAGCUAACCGAACAUUUAUUCAAAAUGAAAGGUUUUAAUCUGUCAGUGAAGUUGAGUUGAACUUAUCUCGAUAACCAGCCAAAACCUACAGUAUUUCAGCAUAACACAAGCAUUGAUGCUACCAGACAGCCACCUUGAAGCCUACAGUAUAAACAGACAUUCACUCUGUAUACUGAAAAUGUGCUGGUUGGUAUUGUAAAAUCAUACAGCUGUUUUGAGCAAGCAUCUUAGAAUUCCUCCUGUGUCAAACCAUCACCAGCUGCAGCCAAUCUGCUCUAUAAUGAGAGCAAAUAUAUGUUUAAUUUGUUGUGUAUAGAAGAAAAUAUGGUGCAGUGGGGGAGGAGGAGCAGAAAUGAUAAAAGCAUGCCAUCCAACUGGAAUUAGUGAUCUAACAGCCUUUGUAUCAUUGUAACACGCUAGCCUAGGUUGUUCAAACUCUAAGACUGCCUCCCUGCUGUUCUAGAUACUUAAGUAGCAGAACACAAUCUUUCUUCCCAUCUUUCGAGGAUAUUUGCUAUAUGAUUUUUCUUCCAAUCCUAAAAGCAAGAUAGAAAGACAUUAUUUAACUGAGUGUAAACAAACAGAAGACCUGUUAUUAUCAAGAUAUUUCUAACUGUACUUCACCGAUUUCAAAGUGUGACAAAGUUAAUUUGUUCUAUUCUUCAAAUGUGGAAAUAUCAAAAGUAACGUUACGAGGAAGUUGAAAAAGUUGCACAUGCACGAGUCCUCACUAGUUAAGUCAGAAUUCUCUCUUUAUCUUCACACAUUUUCUUUGAUUAAAAUAACAACCCUAUGUAACUCCACUGAGGCCUGAGUAGAAAGUGCUCCUCGAUGACUAAUAUUUACAAACAUGUCUUCCCUACAGGCAAACUUAUAGUUAAUUGCUACUAAAUAACUAAGAUACCCCAGUGAUCUGAGUUAGGAAUACUAAACGUAAAACUGCAAGUUCAAAAUUAAGAUAGGUGGUUAUGUGCUACUAAUGUUAAACGUUCCUGAGAAGUGGCAUUCCUUGUCUUUUUCCAUUCCCUUUUAAUUCCUGAUGAACGUACAUCAGUGACUCACAACGUGCCACAAAAGUGUUCUACUGAGAGAGCAUAAUAAAAAGAUUGUACCUAAAAAACUAAAUGUAGUUUUUCAAACUUAUCUUGUCUAGACCUUACAAGCAGAACAAAGAAUAUCGCGACUAAAGCUUCACUCAUUUCCAGCAAGUACAGCUAUGUUUUCCUCAAAGCAGAAAAGUGCAAAAGGCAGAAAAGAAGGCAGUCUAAUUUUUUGUAUGUUGAUGUUAUGUCAAGGCAGAACAAUGAAAAAAUACAGUUUAACACCAUAUCCGUAAUUACAAAAAGCUAUUGGGUUUUGAGAUCUUUUGCAUGAGAACUGGCUUCAGUGUGUCAGAGUGUACAGCUAAACCUCUCAAAUCCUUCCCGUCCUUCAACCUACUGUCAGCUUUCAGAACAUCACAGCUCUGGAAUUCUUUCUAAGAUUUUCCUGCAGGGUUUCAAUAGGGAAUACUAAUCCAGUGGUAACAAGAAUCUGGGUCUCCCGAUCACGUGACCGCUGAAGUACAAGGCAGCUUCAACCAGGGAAACUCCACAGUAGCAGCAAGUCCUGGUGAAGAACACCCCCUCGAACCAACAUUUCAUGAGUAGAUUGACAAUGCUAGUAAAGUACUCUCAGGGUUUAUGCAAUUUUUUUUCUAUAGUGAAAUAAAAAUUCAAAGUUCAAAUUUUUAAAAUAAGAGUAUGAUGAAAAUACAGUAAGACAGUAGUAAAGCUCUGGAAUGAAAAAUUAGAAAGAAUACCUCAGAAUUAUUCCUUUAGAUUUAAGUCACUACUAGGCCCUCACGCUUUCUGAAAUUACUUCACCAAACCUCCUGCCUUGCUCUCUGUGGGAAUACAAGAAAGACUAUUCAGAACAGCACCUGUAGAGCAAGAUAAAUGAAAGCAAUGCUGAGAACCAAGGAAGAAGAGAAAAGCAAGUCAAGUAAGUUGCGCGAUGGCCGUAUGGUAAUUACCCUGACUGAAGGAAGAGUGUGUGGCUAAGAAUGGCUCAUGGCUCUGACUGGAUAAGUGCCUGUGUGCACGGUUAAGGAGUGUUUGCGGAAUGUUUUGUUGACAUGUAAAGGUGGGUGGGAAAGUUAAGAGAAAACUUGUGACUGCAUAAGGGAUGCUAGAACCUGUAAUAAACAUUUUGGAUUGUUCACAUCUGAGUCCAUGCCUCACUGCCACAGCCUACGAUUCUGUUAUUCAUUAAUCUUUCUGAGCUCCUCAGUUCUGAGAAAGAAACUAACUUUGCAAUGGAG
This is a long non-coding RNA of Gallus gallus (chicken), 3630 nucleotides long. The record is from Ensembl. NCBI's taxonomy places the organism in Eukaryota, Metazoa, Chordata, Aves, Galliformes, Phasianidae.